RNAcentral lists this ribosomal RNA (240 nucleotides) under uncultured bacterium. Its description in RNAcentral is "partial 16S ribosomal RNA". It matches the Rfam family "Bacterial small subunit ribosomal RNA", at positions 96 to 334 of the family's 1533-position model. The record is from RNAcentral.
UGGCGAACGGGUGAGUAACGCGUGAGUAACCUGCCCUGGAGUGGGAGACAACAGUUGGAAACGACUGCUAAUACCGCAUAAGCCCACGGCCCGGCAUCGGGCUGAGGGAAAAGGAUUUAUUCGCUUCAGGAUGGACUCGCGUCCAAUUAGCUAGUUGGUGAGGUAACGGCCCACCAAGGCGACGAUUGGUAGCCGGACUGAGAGGUUGAACGGCCACAUUGGGACUGAGACACGGCCCAG